RNAcentral lists this ribosomal RNA (293 nucleotides) under uncultured bacterium. Its description in RNAcentral is "partial 16S ribosomal RNA". It matches the Rfam family "Bacterial small subunit ribosomal RNA", at positions 775 to 1067 of the family's 1533-position model. The record is from RNAcentral.
GGAUUAGAUACCCUGGUAGUCCUUGCCGUAAACGAUGCAUACUUGGUGUAGUUGGACUCAACCCCGACUGUGCCGUAGCUAACGCGUUAAGUAUGCCACCUGGGGAGUACGCCCGCAAGGGUGAAACUCAAAAGAAUUGACGGGGGCCCGCACAAGCAGUGGAGCAUGUGGUUUAAUUCGAUGCAACGCGAAGAACCUUACCCAGGCUUGACAUGUAGAGGACCGCUCUAGAGAUAGAGUUUCCCGCAAGGGCCUUUACACAGGUGCUGCAUGGCUGUCGUCAGCUCGUGCCG